This 320-nucleotide long non-coding RNA is filed under the name Linum usitatissimum (flax). Its description in RNAcentral is "long non-coding RNA (LUSI_LNC005987)". The record is from RNAcentral. Lineage: Eukaryota; Viridiplantae; Streptophyta; Magnoliopsida; Malpighiales; Linaceae.
GCCCACUUAAGGGCUACUGAACUAUUUGAUGGACUAGUGGCUUACAGGUGGAUCAGCUGUGUUUUAUCUAUAUAUUGCCCCUAUGAUCUAUCUUUUUGUUAGGAGUUUUAUUUGGGUAGAUUGGGAGGAAAAAAGAAGAAGAAAAAAAAAGAAAGUGAAAGAGAAAAAAAAAGAAGAGAACAAAUAUUUAAAAAACAUUUAGGUAAAAAAUGAAAACAGAAAAGAAGCGUUAAGCACAAGAUUAGAGACACUCAAACUCUUAUUAAAUAACAACACCCACCAUCAUCCUCAAGAACUCGUCCAAACCCUAAGAAAGCCAC